UUAACUCAAUUUUGUAUGGAGUUGGAACGUCUGCCUACGUUUGCCGCUAGGGGCGCUGUUCCGACUGCAUACAAAUAUCAGUUA
Molecule: non-coding RNA, 84 nt
Organism: Bombyx mori (domestic silkworm)
Lineage: Eukaryota; Metazoa; Arthropoda; Insecta; Lepidoptera; Bombycidae
Source: Rfam